Molecule: ribosomal RNA, 488 nt
Filed under: uncultured bacterium
Lineage: Bacteria
Description: bacterial SSU rRNA
Rfam family: Bacterial small subunit ribosomal RNA
Source: RNAcentral
AUUGAACGCUGGCGGCAUGCCUUACACAUGCAAGUCGAACGGCAGCACGGGAGCAAUCCUGGUGGCGAGUGGCGAACGGGUGAGUAAUAUAUCGGAACGUGCCCAGUCGUGGGGGAUAACGCAGCGAAAGCUGUGCUAAUACCGCAUACGAUCUACGGAUGAAAGCGGGGGACCGUAAGGCCUCGCGCGAUUGGAGCGGCCGAUAUCAGAUUAGGUAGUUGGUGAGGUAAUGGCUCACCAAGGCGACGAUCCGUAACUGGUCUGAGAGGAUGAUCAGUCACACUGGAACUGAGACACGGUCCAGACUCCUACGGGAGGCAGCAGUGGGGAAUUUUGGACAAUGGACGCAAGUCUGAUCCGGCCAUUCCGCGUGCAGGAUGAAGGCCUUCGGUUGUAAACUGCUUUGUACGGAACGAAAAGACUCUGGUUAAUACCUGGGUCCGAUGACGGUACCGUAAGAAUAAGCACCGGCUAACUACGUGCCAGCA